AACGAACGCUGGCGGCAGGCCUAACACAUGCAAGUCGAGCGGGGACUUCGGUCCUAGCGGCGGACGGGUGAGUAACGCGUGGGAACGUGCCCUUUGCUUCGGAAUAGCCCCUGGAAACGGGGGAGUAAUACCGGAUGUGCUCGAGAGAGGAAAGAUUUUUCGGCAAAGGAUCGGCCCGCGUUGGAUUAGCUAGUUGGUGAGGUAAAGGCUCACCAAGGCGACGAUCAGUAGCUGGUUUGAGAGAACGACCAGCCACACUGGAACUGAGACACGGUCCAGACUCCUACGGGAGGCAGCAGUGGGGAAUUUUGGACAAUGGGGGGCAACCCUGAUCCAGCAAUGCCGCGUGAGUGAAGAAGGCCUUCGGUUGUAAAGCUCUUUGUUCUAGGGAAGAAACGGUAGAGUUCUAAUAAAGACUUGCUAAUGACGGUACCUGAAGAAUAAGACACCGGCUAACUACGUAGCCAGCAGCCGCGGUAAU
This 481-nucleotide ribosomal RNA is filed under the name uncultured bacterium. Its description in RNAcentral is "bacterial SSU rRNA". It matches the Rfam family "Bacterial small subunit ribosomal RNA", at positions 29 to 524 of the family's 1533-position model. The record is from RNAcentral.